AUAGCGGUGGUCAUCAUCAUUGCAUUUGUUAUACAUUCUGAGAUAUCUCACCAUGGAAAAUUUCCUCCUGAACAGUGCCCCAGCGAGUGGAUAGGUUACAAAAAUAAAUGUUAUUUCAUCUCAGAGGAGGAAAAAAACUGGACAUCUAGUCAGACCUUCUGCGCUGAGAAUGAAUCCUUGCUAGCCAUUUUUGAAAACCAGGAAGAAAUGCGUUCUUUAACUAAGCAUUUGAAAAUAGAUGACUCCUGGAUUGGAUUGCGCAAGAAAGGUGAAAGCUUCUACUGGGAGAAUGGUAUUGCCUUGAAGGUGGACUUGUUCCAGAUUCGGAAUCACUCUGAGUGUGCUUACUUGGAUGCCUUCACUAUUUCUACCUCAGCAUGCUCUUUGCCCAGGCGCUGCAUCUGUGUCAGACUUCCCUGAAGCGAGGACUUCAAUCUUCAUUUGAUAUGGGCAGUUAAAACACAUCCAUUGUACAGUCACUUCAGAUUGUGCAGCCACACUGUGUCAGACCAUCUGGAAGCCUAAAUCUGAGAGAAGAGCAUUUGUCUUGUCUUCCAAAAUGUAUUUCUAGGUCUUCUCUCCUAGGACAGAAGAGGAAUGCGUUUAGUCCAGUUUACAGAUAACCUACAAUGGAGUCUACCAGUGUUGGCUGACAAAGCUGAAGGUUCAAUGGGAUUCCUGCCAGUCUCUUCUGUGUUCUGCUGCUUCUCAGCAUGUGACCUUGGGGAUACACAGCAGCCAGGGACAACAGUCAGCCAGCACACCUACAGAAACAGUCCAAUGAGGCCUCUUCAGUUUCUCCAAAAAUGCCGUGUGCUCUUUGCUGAACUUGGUACUGACUGGCUAUUUCAGAACAACAAUCUGCCGGU
Haliaeetus leucocephalus (bald eagle) is the source of this 869-nucleotide long non-coding RNA. RefSeq lists it as uncharacterized. The record is from RefSeq and is a predicted model, not a curated record. The transcript has 4 exons. Lineage: Eukaryota; Metazoa; Chordata; Aves; Accipitriformes; Accipitridae.